UGGUGGAGCGAUUUGUCUGGUUAAUUCCGAUAACGAACGAGACUCUAGCCUAUUAAAUAGUUCACGGAUUCCAAUUUGUCCGUGUUAACCUCUUAGAGGGACAAGGGGCGUUUGGCCCCACGAGAUUGAGCAAUAACA
RNAcentral lists this ribosomal RNA (138 nucleotides) under uncultured eukaryote. RNAcentral describes it as "partial 18S ribosomal RNA". It matches the Rfam family "Eukaryotic small subunit ribosomal RNA", at positions 1299 to 1458 of the family's 1831-position model. The record is from RNAcentral.